CGCACAUUGCGCCCUUUGGCAUUCCAAAGGGCAUGCCUGUCUGAGCGUCAGUUAACCUCUUCUCUUUCAUUGAUUGUUACGAUCAAAUUGAAUAGAGAGCGACUGAGCGUGAAUGUGAAACAAUCAUUCUCGUUUGAAAUGAAUGGCUGAAUGACCUGUAUUGAACGUCAAGUUCAAUGCUUGGAAACAAUUCGUUUUUUUGCCAGAUGGUAAUAAGAUAGCGUCUCUACACCCUUUGGAAACGAAAGGAAUGAGCACUUGUCAAUAUUUCAUCGACAUGCGAAAAUCAUGAAUAGAGCCACAAAACUUCUUUUUUUUGGUUCGUUGAUUCGACCAAAAAGAGAGAAAACUUGAAAAUUUUGGCCUCAGAUCAGGUAGGAUGACCCGCUGAACUUAA
This 397-nucleotide unclassified non-coding RNA is filed under the name Yamadazyma sp. RNAcentral's name for it is "partial contains 5.8S ribosomal RNA, internal transcribed spacer 2, and large subunit ribosomal RNA". Lineage: Eukaryota; Fungi; Ascomycota; Pichiomycetes; Serinales; Debaryomycetaceae. The record is from RNAcentral.